UGAAAUUUUAUAUCAUAUCGUGUCUAUUCUUAUCCGCCAGCAGGUACAGGUGUUGGCGGUGGAUGCACCGGCCUUGUAGGUCGUGGUGGACGUCUUUGGGCUAGACCAUAGGACUGGCCAAUGACCAUGAGGCCAACAAUGAUGACAACUAAG
This 153-nucleotide small RNA is filed under the name Drosophila willistoni. Its description in RNAcentral is "GK26761". The record is from RNAcentral. Lineage: Eukaryota; Metazoa; Arthropoda; Insecta; Diptera; Drosophilidae.